This 245-nucleotide ribosomal RNA is filed under the name uncultured bacterium. RNAcentral's name for it is "partial small subunit ribosomal RNA". It matches the Rfam family "Bacterial small subunit ribosomal RNA", at positions 26 to 285 of the family's 1533-position model. The record is from RNAcentral.
AGAAUCAACGCUGGCGGCGUGCCUAACACAUGCAAGUCGCACGAGAAAGUGGAGCAAUCCAUGAGUAAAGUGGCGCACGGGUGAGUAACACGUGAAUGAUCUACCUCCGAGUGGGGAAUAACUGAGAGAAAUCUUGGCUAAUACCGCAUAAUACCCACGGGUCAAAGCAGCAAUGCGCUUGGAGAGGAGUUCGCGGCAGAUUAGUUAGUUGGCGGGGUAAUGGCCCACCAAGACGAUGAUCUGUA